AAUACUUAGGAAUCUGCCCAUUAAUGGGGGACAACAGUUGGAAACGACUGCUAAUACCGCAUACGCCCUACGGGGGAAAGCAGGGGAUCUUCGGACCUUGCGUUAAUGGAUGAGCCUAAGUCGGAUUAGCUAGUUGGUGGGGUAAAGGCCUACCAAGGCGACGAUCUGUAGCGGGUCUGAGAGGAUGAUCCGCCACACUGGGACUGAGACACGGCCCAGACUCCUACGGGAGGCAGCAGUGGGGAAUAUUGGACAAUGGGGGAACCCUGAUCCAGCCAUGCCGCGUGUGUGAAGAAGGCCUUUUGGUUGUAAAGCACUUUAAGCGAGGAGGAGGCUACUAGUAUUAAUACUACUGGAUAGUGGACGUUACUCGCAGAAUAAGCACCGGCUAACUCUGUGCCAGCAGCCGCGGUAAUACAGAGGGUGCGAGCGUUAAUCGGAUUUACUGGGCGUAAAGCGUGCGUAGGUGGCCAAUUAAGUCAAAUGUGAAAUCCCCGAGCUUAACUUGGGAAUUGCAUUCGAUACUGGUUGGCUAGAGUAUGGGAGAGGAUGGUAGAAUUCCAGGUGUAGCGGUGAAAUGCGUAGAGAUCUGGAGG
RNAcentral lists this ribosomal RNA (596 nucleotides) under uncultured bacterium. RNAcentral's name for it is "bacterial SSU rRNA". It matches the Rfam family "Bacterial small subunit ribosomal RNA", at positions 112 to 704 of the family's 1533-position model. The record is from RNAcentral.